GUCGGUUCGCGGGACCGUCACUCCGCUCGAAGUCCAGCAUUGAGUAUGGUUAUCACUGGAUUUGGCCCAUAGAGGGUGAGAGGCCCGUACGAGUGGAGGUUCAGACAUGUAUGACGGUUCACCAGGCCGACCUCAGAGUCGGGUUGUUUGAGAUUGCAGCCCAAAGAGGGUGGUAAACUCCAUCCAAGGCUAAAUACUGACACGAGUCCGAUAGCGAACAAGUACCGUGAGGGAAAGUUGAAAAGUACUCUGAAGAGAGAGUAAACAGUACGUGAAGCCGCAUGCAGGUAAACGGGUGGCGUCAAGCUGCGAGCCCGGAGGAUUCAACUGAUUAGGAUGUAGUGUACGCGCGCCUGGUGCGUCGAGAGACCGGAAUAAGAUGUUUGGCGGUCCGCUCCUCUGCUGGGAGUGGGGCGCUAUCAGUGUGCACGCGAAAGCGUGCCUGCUGGUUGUCGCUAUGCAUGCCGGGUGGGUGCCGGAGCAUGCCGCUCAUCUGUUGGGUCACCUAGUCAGUGCAUUUUCUCCGCGGUGAACACCACGACCGGUGGAACUGCCAGUCUGCUGUCAUCAAGUCGUGUUCAUCUGACCCCUCCCUCCCUCUCGCUCCUUCGUGGGUGAUGGGUGGAUGUGUGKAACUGCCAGUCUGCUGUCAUCAAGUCGUGUUCAUCUGACCCCUCCCUCCCUCUCGCUCCUUCGUGGGUGAUGGGUGGAUGUGUGUGUUGGGUGGGUACGAUCGCAGAUGGAGUCGGUGGACGGCGCAGUGGUGUCUCGGCAUCGCCGCGUGUUAUCGUGCACUCUCUGUCCUAAGCGAUUAGUGGGGCUGACCGAGCGCUGUAACUGCCUCCCCAUUGAUCGGCGGAUGGCAGUGGUAAAAGUGACUGUGCAGGGCACCGGAGUUGUCCACCUCAUUCAUUUAUUCAUUCGUGAAUGAGUGAAAAUGGCACCCGACACGCACGUUACAGGUGCUAUGCAAUCGGGGCGCGCCGCUGCCUGUCGGGUGUUGGGCCUGACCGUCGUGUUGCCUGCGCAAAGUGGGUCCGGCGGUGGUUUCAGACACUUGGCAAUGGUGGUGUGUAGCGCGUCUCGGGUGUGUGUGGUGCCGGGGGUGAAAUAGUCAGUGGUGCUGUGGUAGACGAGCUACCCGACCCGUCUUGAAACACGGACCAAGGAGUUUAACAUGUGUGCGAGUCAAAGGGUCCUACGAAACCCCGAGGCGUAGUGAAAGUGAAGUUCAUGCUGUACUUCUGUGCAUACGCAGUGCAGUGUGGCGAGGUGAGAUCUCCUUGUGCUCAUGACACACGCCGCAGACCUUACUGGGCAAUAUUGGGGCAAGGAGCGCAUCACCGGCCCGUCGCAUGUUGUGGUCAUAGGUGUACUUGUACGCUGAGGGGUGCGUGUGCGUGUUUCGGCGCGUGCAUGUACUUGGAGGUGUGCAAAGCCUGUGC
Molecule: ribosomal RNA, 1445 nt
Filed under: Anoplocephaloides lemmi
Lineage: Eukaryota; Metazoa; Platyhelminthes; Cestoda; Cyclophyllidea; Anoplocephalidae
Description: partial 28S ribosomal RNA
Rfam family: Eukaryotic large subunit ribosomal RNA
Source: RNAcentral